GGGACUGGCGCUGGAGCCCAGCGUGGGAUGACCGUGCCCCGAAAACAUGCCAGUGAAUGGAAAGAAGCCAAGGUCCCCUCCCUCCCUGCUUAUACCCUCAACUUUGCCAAUGAGGACCCUAAAUACCAGCUGCACUACAGGGGAUGUAACUACAUACACCGUCACCAAAGUUGCAGCCUGGCCAAGAAAUGCCAGGGGACGUCGCGGCGAUUGCAGACUCCGCGGUGACUGUGUAGAUACGUCCAGAAUUCGCCCUUGUAGCGCGGGGAGAGGCGAGAGUGAAGGCCUAGAAAAAAAGAAGAAUAAAUGGGACAUUACACAAGGCGAAGCGCAAUUUUGAAUUACAAAGGGGGAGUUGUUUUCACAGUGACCUCUGAAAGAUUCUCCCGGGGU
This 393-nucleotide long non-coding RNA is filed under the name Homo sapiens (human). Its description in RNAcentral is "HSALNT0369832". Lineage: Eukaryota; Metazoa; Chordata; Mammalia; Primates; Hominidae. The record is from RNAcentral.